CAACUAGUUUGGGAUUAAGGUUUCUCGUUGUUAUUGUUGUUGUUGUCGUCGUCGUCAUUACUCAUUAGUUAAAUAUUCCUAUACACUGAGGGCUACUGUUUAACAUUUGUGUUGACGAUUGACUUAUUCAAGUUUUUGAGCUUGAAAAUUAUUGUUUCAUAUGAUAUUUGGUUGACCAUGAUUAUCUGUGUUGUUCUUAUUAUUUUGGUAUGGGGUUUGUUCAGUAAUAUUAGCUGUUCUAGUAGCUGCUAGCUAUUGUAGUACUUAUCGG
RNAcentral lists this unclassified non-coding RNA (271 nucleotides) under Hevea brasiliensis (rubber tree). The record is from RNAcentral. Lineage: Eukaryota; Viridiplantae; Streptophyta; Magnoliopsida; Malpighiales; Euphorbiaceae.